Mus musculus (house mouse) is the source of this 605-nucleotide RNA transcript. It is a transcript of the gene named interleukin 4, with no coding region annotated. NCBI's taxonomy places the organism in Eukaryota, Metazoa, Chordata, Mammalia, Rodentia, Muridae. The record is from RefSeq and is marked validated. The transcript is spliced from 3 exons.
UGGAAACACACCACUGAGAAUGAAAGGCCCCAAAGUCUUGACUUACCAGUGGUCUCCAGACUGCCUGCUUUUCACAUGAGGUCAGGAACAAAGACCUGUGGGGUGGUUGGGGUGACAGACCUGUACCCAAGCCAUGGAUAGGAUUCAUCCUGCUUCACCAGAGAUCUGUCCUCCCGGCUCGAUCCGGAUGGUCCCAUUCUAUUCAAGAUUACUCCAGGAGUCUGAUGCAGAAUGAGUUUCUGAAGGACAGAUGUACAUAACACCACAGAGAGUGAGCUCGUCUGUAGGGCUUCCAAGGUGCUUCGCAUAUUUUAUUUAAAACAUGGGAAAACUCCAUGCUUGAAGAAGAACUCUAGUGUUCUCAUGGAGCUGCAGAGACUCUUUCGGGCUUUUCGAUGCCUGGAUUCAUCGAUAAGCUGCACCAUGAAUGAGUCCAAGUCCACAUCACUGAAAGACUUCCUGGAAAGCCUAAAGAGCAUCAUGCAAAUGGAUUACUCGUAGUACUGAGCCACCAUGCUUUAACUUAUGAAUUUUUAAUGGUUUUAUUUUUAAUAUUUAUAUAUUUAUAAUUCAUAAAAUAAAAUAUUUGUAUAAUGUAACAGAAA